AGGCUGCAACCCGCCUGCAUGGAGCUGGAAUCGCUAGUAAUCGCGGAUCAGAAUGCCGCGGUGAAUAACGUUCCCGGGUCUUGUACACACCGCCCGUCACACCAUGGGAGUCGGGAAUGCCCGAAGCCGGUGACCGAACCGCAAGGACGGAGCCGUCGAAGGCAGAUUCGAUAACUGGGGUGAAGUCGUAACAAGGUAUC
This 200-nucleotide ribosomal RNA is filed under the name uncultured bacterium. RNAcentral's name for it is "partial 16S ribosomal RNA". It matches the Rfam family "Bacterial small subunit ribosomal RNA", at positions 1302 to 1500 of the family's 1533-position model. The record is from RNAcentral.